GGCGACCGGCGCACGGGUGAGUAACACGUAUCCAACCUGCCCUUUACUCGGGGAUAGCCUUUCGAAAGAAAGAUUAAUACCCGAUAGCAUAAUGAUUCCGCAUGGUUUCAUUAUUAAAGGAUUCCGGUAAAGGAUGGGGAUGCGUUCCAUUAGGUUGUUGGUGAGGUAACGGCUCACCAAGCCUUCGAUGGAUAGGGGUUCUGAGAGGAAGGUCCCCCACAUUGGAACUGAGACACGGUCCAAACUCCUACGGGAGGCAGCAGUGAGGAAUAUUGGUCAAUGGGCGCUAGCCUGAACCAGCCAAGUAGCGUGAAGGAUGAAGGCUCUAUGGGUCGUAAACUUCUUUUAUAUAAGAAUAAAGUGCAGUAUGUAUACUGUUUUGUAUGUAUUAUAUGAAUAAGGAUCGGCUAACUCCGUGCCAGCAGCCGCGGUAAUACGGAGGAUCCGAGCGUUAUCCGGAUUUAUUGGGUUUAAAGGGAGCGUAGGUGGACUGGUAAGUCAGUUGUGAAAGUUUGCGGCUCAACCGUAAAAUUGCAGUUGAUACUGUCAGUCUUGAGUACAGUAGAGGUGGGCGGAAUUCGUGGUGUAGCGGUGAAAUGCUUAGAUAUCACGAAGAACUCCGAUUGCGAAGGCAGCUCACUGGACUGCAACUGACACUGAUGCUCGAAAGUGUGGGUAUCAAACAGGAUUAGAUACCCUGGUAGUCCACACAGUAAACGAUGAAUACUCGCUGUUUGCGAUAUACAGUAAGCGGCCAAGCGAAAGCAUUAAGUAUUCCACCUGGGGAGUACGCCGGCAACGGUGAAACUCAAAGGAAUUGACGGGGGCCCGCACAAGCGGAGGAACAUGUGGUUUAAUUCGAUGAUACGCGAGGAACCUUACCCGGGCUUAAAUUGCAGUGGAAUGAUGUGGAAACAUGUCAGUGAGCAAUCACCGCUGUGAAGGUGCUGCAUGGUUGUCGUCAGCUCGUGCCGUGAGGUGUCGGCUUAAGUGCCAUAACGAGCGCAACCCUUAUCUUCAGUUACUAACAGGUCAUGCUGAGGACUCUGGAGAGACUGCCGUCGUAAGAUGUGAGGAAGGUGGGGAUGACGUCAAAUCAGCACGGCCCUUACGUCCGGGGCUACACACGUGUUACAAUGGGGGGUACAGAAGGCAGCUAGCGGGUGACCGUAUGCUAAUCCCAAAAUCCUCUCUCAGUUCGGAUCGAAGUCUGCAACCCGACUUCGUGAAGCUGGAUUCGCUAGUAAUCGCGCAUCAGCCACGGCGCGGUGAAUAC
This 1276-nucleotide ribosomal RNA is filed under the name Bacteroides fragilis. Its description in RNAcentral is "bacterial SSU rRNA". It matches the Rfam family "Bacterial small subunit ribosomal RNA", at positions 90 to 1369 of the family's 1533-position model. The record is from RNAcentral. Lineage: Bacteria; Pseudomonadati; Bacteroidota; Bacteroidia; Bacteroidales; Bacteroidaceae.